This 256-nucleotide ribosomal RNA is filed under the name uncultured bacterium. Its description in RNAcentral is "partial 16S ribosomal RNA". It matches the Rfam family "Bacterial small subunit ribosomal RNA", at positions 524 to 776 of the family's 1533-position model. The record is from RNAcentral.
UACGUAGGGUGCUAGCGUUGUCCGGAUUUAUUGGGCGUAAAGGGCUCGUAGGCGGCGUGUCGCGUCGGGGAGUGAAAGCCCGCUGCUUAACGGCGGGUUGGCUUCCGGUACGGGCAUCGCUGGAGUGCGGCAGGGGAGACUGGAAUUCCUGGUGUAGCGGUGGAAUGCGCAGAUAUCAGGAGGAACACCGGUGGCGAAGGCGGGUCUCUGGGCCGUUACUGACGCUGGAGGCUCGAAAGCUAGGGGAGCAAACAGG